RNAcentral lists this ribosomal RNA (252 nucleotides) under Rhipicephalus camicasi. RNAcentral describes it as "partial large subunit ribosomal RNA". Lineage: Eukaryota; Metazoa; Arthropoda; Arachnida; Ixodida; Ixodidae. The record is from RNAcentral.
AAUGCUAAGAGAAUGGAAAUUCAGAAAAAAACUUUCUUUAAAUUAAAAAUUGAAGUUUUUUUAAUUUGUGCAGAAACAAUUAUUAAUAUUAAGGACAAGAAGACCCUACGAAUUUAUUAAAUUUUAUUUAAUAUGUAAUUACUAUUAAUAAAAUUUUGACUGGGGCGGUUAAAAAAUAUUUCAAACUUUUUAAAAAUAAAAUGACCCAUUAUUAGUGAUUUUAUGUUAAAUACUCUAGGGAUAACAGCGUAA